Molecule: ribosomal RNA, 452 nt
Filed under: uncultured bacterium
Lineage: Bacteria
Description: bacterial SSU rRNA
Rfam family: Bacterial small subunit ribosomal RNA
Source: RNAcentral
AACGAACGCUGGCGGCAGGCUUAACACAUGCAAGUCGAGCGCACUCUUCGGAGUGAGCGGCGGACGGGUUAGUAACGCGUGGGAACGUGCCCUCUUCUACGGAAUAGCCUCGGGAAACUGAGAUUAAUACCGUAUACGCCCGAAAGGGGAAAGAUUUAUCGGAGGAGGAUCGGCCCGCGUUGGAUUAGGUAGUUGGUGGGGUAAUGGCCUACCAAGCCGACGAUCCAUAGCUGGUUUGAGAGGAUGAUCAGCAACACUGGGACUGAGACACGGCCCAGACUCCUACGGGAGGCAGCAGUGGGGAAUCUUGGACAAUGGGGGCAACCCUGAUCCAGCCAUGCCGCGUGGACGAUGAAGGCCUUAGGGUUGUAAAGUCCUUUCGCCGGGGAAGAUAAUGACGGUACCCGGUAAAGAAGCCCCGGCUAACUCCGUGCCAGCCGCCGCCGUAAAAC